RNAcentral lists this ribosomal RNA (354 nucleotides) under Punctoterebra nitida. RNAcentral describes it as "partial 12S ribosomal RNA". The record is from RNAcentral. Lineage: Eukaryota; Metazoa; Mollusca; Gastropoda; Neogastropoda; Terebridae.
AUUUACCAGAGUACUAUGAAUGUUAAAAAUUUAAAACUCAAAGAACUUGGCGGUGUUUUAGACCACUUAGGGGAACCUGUCUCGUAAUCGAUAAUCCACGGUGAACCUGACCUUUAUUUGUUUACAGUUUGUAUACCGUUGUCGUCAGGUAACUUUUUAGAAACUAGAAGUUAGCAAUAAAGAAUUAAAAAUAAUUCAGUACGUCAAAUCAAGGUGCAGCUUAUAUAGGGGGGAGGAUGGGUUACAAUUAUUUUAGUUAUAAUGACGGCGAAGUGUGGGAAGUCACAUUUAAUAAGGCGGACUUAAAAGUAAAUUAGAAUAUAUAAAUAAUUUGAAUAAGGCUCUGAAACGUGU